RNAcentral lists this ribosomal RNA (497 nucleotides) under uncultured bacterium. RNAcentral describes it as "partial 16S ribosomal RNA". It matches the Rfam family "Bacterial small subunit ribosomal RNA", at positions 28 to 507 of the family's 1533-position model. The record is from RNAcentral.
GAUGAACGCUGGCGGCGUGCCUAAUACAUGCAAGUCGAGCGAACAGAUAAGGCUCUUGCUCCUUUGACGUUUGCGGCGGACGGGUGAGUAACACGUGGGUAACCUACCUAUCAGACUGGGAUCACUUCGGGAAACCGGCGCUAAUACCGGAUAACAUUUGGCACCGCAUGGUUCUAAAGUGAAAGAUGGUUUUGCUAUCACUUCUAGAUGGACCCGCGCCGUAUUAGCUAGUUGGUACGGUAACGGCUUACCAAGGCAACGAUACGUAGCCGACCUGAUAGGGUGAUCGGCAACAUUGGAACGGAGCCACGGUCCAGACUCCUAAGGGAGGCAGCAGUAGGGAAUCGGCCGCAAUGGUCGAAAGCCUGACGGAGCAACGCGGAGUGAGAGAUGAAGGGGUUCGGCUCGUAAAACUCGGUUAUUAGGGAAGAACAAACGUGUAAGUAACUGUGCACGGCUUGACGGUAACUAAUCAGAAAGCCACGGCUAACUACGUG